UUAAAUUGAAGAGUUUGAUCAUGGCUCAGAUUGAACGCUGGCGGCAGGCCUAACACAU
Molecule: ribosomal RNA, 58 nt
Filed under: Escherichia coli
Lineage: Bacteria; Pseudomonadati; Pseudomonadota; Gammaproteobacteria; Enterobacterales; Enterobacteriaceae
Also listed under: 3 other names
Description: partial 16S ribosomal RNA
Source: RNAcentral